UAGGAACUGUGAAGAGAGAUUAGUUUUCU
This 29-nucleotide non-coding RNA is filed under the name Rattus norvegicus (Norway rat). The record is from RNAcentral. Lineage: Eukaryota; Metazoa; Chordata; Mammalia; Rodentia; Muridae.